CAGCAAAGAAAGUUUUGAUCCACAGUAGUCGGACAGUAUGCCAGCAUCCACCUUGACUAGAUCCGAAAUCUUUAGAUUUGAUCAUCCUUGAUUAUAUAAAAUUAACAUGAUUGGACCGAUCUAGAUCAUAGGAUAUGACUACCAUUCAUCAUAUCUUCCUUGAUUAUUCGUAUCCUUUCUGAUUAUUGGAUUUAAUUGUGUAUGGUGGUGUAAUUAUCUCGACA
This 224-nucleotide long non-coding RNA is filed under the name Elaeis guineensis (African oil palm). RNAcentral's name for it is "long non-coding RNA (EGUI_LNC010898)". The record is from RNAcentral. Lineage: Eukaryota; Viridiplantae; Streptophyta; Magnoliopsida; Arecales; Arecaceae.